CCGAGGCAGCCGCGAGCCCGCGACCACUCGUCGCUCGCCGAGGCGAACCCUGGCCGCGACUCCUCCGCGGGCGGCGACCCACAACCCUCGGCGCCGUGGCCCUCGCAGCCGCUGCCCGCUGGGCCGUCGCGACCUCGGCAGCCGCUGCCAUCGCGGCCGUGGCGUCCUCUAUCCGAUCCGGGGAUCGACGAACCACGACAUGGCAAAUUGGUAAAACGGAACCCCCUCUGCCUUCUCUCCCUAUUGCAGCACACCUCGAGCCCUACCAAGGCUACCAUGGCCUAGAACGCCAGCAAUUGCGUUGCCUGGAUGUCUCGCUCGUCCGUGCUUUGAACAGGACGGCGCCUCCACCUUCCGGCCUGUGCUAUGAACAGCUCGGCGCCUCCUUCGGGCCUCAGAUCAGGUCGAUACCGGUGCUCCCCGCCACGUGAAAAGCAGUAAAACGGAGUCCCCACUGCCUUCUCUCUCUAUUCCCCCACUCCUCGAGAUCUACCAUGCAUGCUCUAGAUCGAUGGCAAUUUGGAUGCACAGUGCUACUGAAAUAACACUCUGCUCUGCUCGUACAUGCUCGGUUUCUGGUAUGUUUUGCUCCUGUUGAACUGAAAUUUUUGUUCAUGUUCGGUUUCUGUUAUGUUUUGCUCCUGUUGAACUGAAAUUUUUGCUCAGCUAGCUAUGGUUACCUGUCAAAGUAGUUUCUGUUAUAUAACACUCUGUUCUGCUCGUGCUGAACUGAAAUUUUUGUUCAUCUAGCUAUGGUUGGCUGUCAAGUAGUGUAUACCAUUCGGAUAAAUGAAAUGCAUUACUGCUGCUACUUCCGUCAAUUAGCAAUAGCUAUUGUUCCUCUGCCUUUGGAAAUUUUCUCCAAAGUGUUAUAACUUGAAACCUGGAUGCCUGUGAUGUUGGCUUUUUUCCAAACUUGAUUCACUGUAUAUUGAACCUGAACAGCGGCAACUCUGAACAUUCAAAUUUCCACCUGUUUUGAUGCGUUCAGUACCAUCUAUGCCUGCUUUUGAGGAAUUUACUCCACCAUGUUCAUGUUUUGCCGGGCACACUGUUUUGAUCAUACAACCUGAUGUGGUAACGUCGAGAUGUUUUUCGGUAGAGCAUGCAACCUGAUGGUAGGAAGCGGGGUAGGGCACCCCUAAGCGAUGUUACAAACGGCAAUUCCGAAGGUGUCACAGACCCUGGGAUUGUAAGCUCCAAGGAAUUGAAAUUGCAGAGGCAGAUAACAGGAAGGGAAUGCAUCUAUGACUAACGAGCAGAGGAAUGAACGGAACAAAAAAGAGACGUGAGGCUUAUAGGAGGAAGAAAUUGGACGCAUCCAAUAAAGAAAACAAUACAUAUAUCAGGUGUCUGAUAAGUUUUUACAUUGGCAGCUAAGUAUUUACCCUUUAGUCACACGUGAGCUGAUUGUUCCUUUGUCUUUUUUAUGCUGAUAGGAGCUGUAAUUGAGCACCAUAUGCCAAAUGAGUUGAUAAGUUUUUACAUCGACGGUUGAGUAUUUACCCUUUAGUCACACGUGAGCUGAUUGUUCCUUCAUCUUUCUUAUGCUGACAGGUGCUGUAAUUGAGCACAGCACGAAUCAGGCCCAAGUCACCUUCACUUCUGUUGAGACGAGCAUAGCAUCAGACAUUGAGCCCCACGUGCCAAAUGAUUUGUGCAUAACUGAAAGUGAUCGUGUGCUCGAGUCACCUUCAGUUCUAUUGAGACGACCAUUGCACUAGGAUUGUAUAAAGAAGGAUAAGGAAGUUGUUGAUAGGUUGGUUGCGAUACUUCGUGGGAAUACUUACUCUGAACAUCUCAUGACGAUGUUUGGUAUUGAGAAUAUGGAGGAUUAUCAUAUUGAGUUGAACCUUGACCAAUGGCUAGAUCAGAGAACAUAUAAUGUUCCGAUCACAUUAGAGGUUGCUGCUAUCUGGAUAAAGGAUGGGUCUAUACAUGGUAUACGAUCAUACCAUGGUUGCUACAUGGUAAACCUUUUUUUGGAUUAAUUAUCUCCUUUUAUGAUACAAUUUUGAUGAACUAUUUGUGGUAGACCUUUAUACUUUAUACAAUAUGGUAUCAUAAUAUUUAAUAUUUCAGGAUC
Panicum virgatum (switchgrass) is the source of this 2086-nucleotide long non-coding RNA. RefSeq lists it as uncharacterized. The transcript is spliced from 3 exons. The record is from RefSeq and is a predicted model, not a curated record. NCBI's taxonomy places the organism in Eukaryota, Viridiplantae, Streptophyta, Magnoliopsida, Poales, Poaceae.